UACGAGGGGUGCAAGCGUUGCUCGGAAUUAUUGGGCGUAAAGGGUAGGUAGGUGGUCUCAUUUGUCUGGGGUGAAAGCCUUGAGCUUAACUCAAGAAGUGCCCCAGAAACGGUGAGACUGGAGUCUUGGAGAGGGUCGUGGAAUUCCCGGUGUAGCGGUGAAAUGCGUAGAUAUCAGGAGGAACACCGGUGGCGAAGGCGGGUCUCUGGGCCAAAACUGACGCUGAGGAGCGAAAGCGUGGGGAGCGAACAGG
This 253-nucleotide ribosomal RNA is filed under the name uncultured bacterium. RNAcentral describes it as "partial 16S ribosomal RNA". It matches the Rfam family "Bacterial small subunit ribosomal RNA", at positions 524 to 776 of the family's 1533-position model. The record is from RNAcentral.